This 422-nucleotide ribosomal RNA is filed under the name uncultured bacterium. RNAcentral's name for it is "partial 16S ribosomal RNA". It matches the Rfam family "Bacterial small subunit ribosomal RNA", at positions 355 to 774 of the family's 1533-position model. The record is from RNAcentral.
UGCGGAAUAUUGGUCAAUGGGUGCAAGCCUGAACCAGCCAUCCCGCGUGAAGGACGACUGCCCUAUGGGUUGUAAACUUCUUUUGUAUAGGGAUAAACCUACCCUCGUGAGGGUAGCUGAAGGUACUAUACGAAUAAGCACCGGCUAACUCCGUGCCAGCAGCCGCGGUAAUACGGAGGGUGCAAGCGUUAUCCGGAUUUAUUGGGUUUAAAGGGUCCGUAGGCGGACUUAUAAGUCAGUGGUGAAAGCCUGUCGCUUAACGAUAGAACUGCCAUUGAUACUGUAAGUCUUGAGUAUAUUUGAGGUAGCUGGAAUAAGUAGUGUAGCGGUGAAAUGCAUAGAUAUUACUUAGAACACCAAUUGCGAAGGCAGGUUACCAAGAUAUAACUGACGCUGAGGGACGAAAGCGUGGGGAGCGAACA